Molecule: ribosomal RNA, 1287 nt
Filed under: Klebsiella pneumoniae
Lineage: Bacteria; Pseudomonadati; Pseudomonadota; Gammaproteobacteria; Enterobacterales; Enterobacteriaceae
Description: bacterial SSU rRNA
Rfam family: Bacterial small subunit ribosomal RNA
Source: RNAcentral
GUAGGUGGGGUAACGGCUCACCUAGGCGACGAUCCCUAGCUGGUCUGAGAGGAUGACCAGCCACACUGGAACUGAGACACGGUCCAGACUCCUACGGGAGGCAGCAGUGGGGAAUAUUGCACAAUGGGCGCAAGCCUGAUGCAGCCAUGCCGCGUGUGUGAAGAAGGCCUUCGGGUUGUAAAGCACUUUCAGCGGGGAGGAAGGCGAUAAGGUUAAUAACCUUGUCGAUUGACGUUACCCGCAGAAGAAGCACCGGCUAACUCCGUGCCAGCAGCCGCGGUAAUACGGAGGGUGCAAGCGUUAAUCGGAAUUACUGGGCGUAAAGCGCACGCAGGCGGUCUGUCAAGUCGGAUGUGAAAUCCCCGGGCUCAACCUGGGAACUGCAUUCGAAACUGGCAGGCUAGAGUCUUGUAGAGGGGGGUAGAAUUCCAGGUGUAGCGGUGAAAUGCGUAGAGAUCUGGAGGAAUACCGGUGGCGAAGGCGGCCCCCUGGACAAAGACUGACGCUCAGGUGCGAAAGCGUGGGGAGCAAACAGGAUUAGAUACCCUGGUAGUCCACGCCGUAAACGAUGUCGAUUUGGAGGUUGUGCCCUUGAGGCGUGGCUUCCGGAGCUAACGCGUUAAAUCGACCGCCUGGGGAGUACGGCCGCAAGGUUAAAACUCAAAUGAAUUGACGGGGGCCCGCACAAGCGGUGGAGCAUGUGGUUUAAUUCGAUGCAACGCGAAGAACCUUACCUGGUCUUGACAUCCACAGAACUUACCAGAGAUGCAUUGGUGCCUUCGGGAACUGUGAGACAGGUGCUGCAUGGCUGUCGUCAGCUCGUGUUGUGAAAUGUUGGGUUAAGUCCCGCAACGAGCGCAACCCUUAUCCUUUGUUGCCAGCGGUCCGGCCGGGAACUCAAAGGAGACUGCCAGUGAUAAACUGGAGGAAGGUGGGGAUGACGUCAAGUCAUCAUGGCCCUUACGACCAGGGCUACACACGUGCUACAAUGGCAUAUACAAAGAGAAGCGACCUCGCGAGAGCAAGCGGACCUCAUAAAGUAUGUCGUAGUCCGGAUUGGAGUCUGCAACUCGACUCCAUGAAGUCGGAAUCGCUAGUAAUCGUAGAUCAGAAUGCUACGGUGAAUACGUUCCCGGGCCUUGUACACACCGCCCGUCACACCAUGGGAGUGGGUUGCAAAAGAAGUAGGUAGCUUAACCUUCGGGAGGGCGCUUACCACUUUGUGAUUCAUGACUGGGGUGAAGUCGUAACAAGGUAACCGUAGGGGAACCUGCGGUUGGAUCACCU